RNAcentral lists this ribosomal RNA (121 nucleotides) under Vulpes vulpes (red fox). Lineage: Eukaryota; Metazoa; Chordata; Mammalia; Carnivora; Canidae. The record is from RNAcentral.
GUCUAUGGGCAGGCCAUCCUGAGCACACCCAAUCUCAUCUGAUCUUGGAAGCUAAGCAGGGUCGAGUCUGGUUAGUACUGGAUGAGAUGUCUUCAAUAUUAAAGGCAAAACUUCCUAUGCC